UACGAGGGAUGCAAGCGUUAUCCGGAAUUAUUGGGCGUAAAGCGUUUGUAGGCGGGCGAGUGUGUUAAAUGUUAAAUCUUAAAGCUCAACUUUGAAAUUGCGUUAAAAACUGCUUGUCUUGAGUAUGGUAGGGGUAAAGGGAAUUCCCAAUGUAGCGGUGAAAUGCGUAGAUAUUGGGAAGAACACUAAACAGCGAAGGCACUUUACUAGGUUAAUACUGACGCUGAGAAACGAAAGGUAAGGUAGCGAAACGG
Molecule: ribosomal RNA, 254 nt
Filed under: uncultured bacterium
Lineage: Bacteria
Description: partial 16S ribosomal RNA
Rfam family: Bacterial small subunit ribosomal RNA
Source: RNAcentral